This is an RNA transcript of Lytechinus pictus (painted urchin), 6581 nucleotides long. It is a transcript of the gene named E3 ubiquitin-protein ligase RNF8-like, with no coding region annotated. The record is from RefSeq and is a predicted model, not a curated record. The transcript is spliced from 7 exons. NCBI's taxonomy places the organism in Eukaryota, Metazoa, Echinodermata, Echinoidea, Temnopleuroida, Toxopneustidae.
GAAGUGAAUGUAACUCAAAAAUUCAAAACAGUUUCAGGUUUUUCUGUACAUUUAAUGAUUUAUUGCAGCCUUUGUUCUUCAUCUGUAGAAAACUUAAAUAGGAAUCGCCUGUCACACUGCAGCCACAGUUUCACACACAGAUUGCGCAACUGCGCAUUUUGCCAUUGAAAUUGCUUGUGCGACAAUUGGUGCGUAGUUUUAAGACCCCCUACCAUAUGCUUAGCCUUAAUAGGUAGACAGCUAAAAUCUAUCUAUCUGGAGUAGCAGAAUAACUGAUGAAACAGAGACUGAAGCUGUCAUUCUAGUGCUAACUAUAGUAUUAAACAUACCAUGGCAUAUGUAGCAUACUGCUAGCCGAGUGCUAGCCAUAAUUGUUUUAGGCCCAUAAGCUAGCAGAACAUUAAAUUUAAAUAAAAAACAACAACCCACAAACAUUAUGUUAGUUGUAAGUUUGUUGUACAGGUAGGUGCUCAAAUCUACACAGUGCUCCUUGUCUGCGCAUGCGCAUAUCUGCGCAAUUUUAAUAAAAGAAGACCUGCAACAACCACAAACUUUACACCUGCAAUAUAUUAUAGAUCUAGACAGAUAUUGAAAAAUCCAAGUCAAAGUGGUGGAAAAAUAUUGAAUUUCAGGCAUUUCAUGUAACAGCCUCAAAAUGCAGUCUUUCUCAUACAAAUCCCUGAAUUGUGUGUAAAGUGAAUGGGUGUGCGCCAUUGUUUAGUUCAAUCAAAAUGACUGGCUGUGGGGUUUUUCAAAGAAGAUCAUAUAUUUCUCUCAAAUUGUUAUGAGAUUUUUGGCACAUUUACUUUCAAGAAUAUAAGGAACCUUAUCAACUUAGAAUUUUAUCGGAUUUGAAAUGAAUUCACGCUCAAUAUUAGGUUAAGGUUAGAUGCGCUGACAUGCCCCACCCCCAGGACACGAUGGAAUUUACAAUGAAUAAAGAAAGUUCUAUGUGCGAUUGUCCCGUUUUAGUUAUGGGGGGAACAGGGGUAAGGAUGGGUGAUCUGUUGUCCAGACAGUCUAGCAGAUGAAAUCAUAUUUUGUUUUGGAUUUCCGCAACAUUGGUGCAUUCAAUACUAAAAUAAUUUAGAAUAUUUGUGCUUUGUAAUUUUGUCUGAUAUUACUUUCAAUUCUUAAAUAAAUGUUAAUCUCAAAGUUCCUGAAAUUACCGUCUUGUCCGUACAAAUUACCUAUCCGGACACACAACAAUGGGGUAUACUGAACAAUGAGUUUGAAUUUCAUAUCUUUGUUUUUGGCAUAGCCACUGGUCAAGGAAUGACAAAAUCUAUUGAACAUCGAGAUAAAAACAAAGAGCAAUUUUAACUCAUUAAAUGGUUGUGUAGCAAUUAGCAACAAGAUGUAAAACAAUACACACCAAAAGUGAGGUAAUAUUAGACAAGGCUCCAUAUAAACUCUUUUUUUUUGUGAUGGCCUGAAUGCCACCGAAUAAACGUAUGGUGCCCUUAUAUAUGGAAUAAAUAUUUAACAAGUUGUGACUACUUUGAUCCUUAUAUUUGCUUCCCAGGCAAGCAAUAAUCAUUUUCGUCCAAAUUUCUUCUUUAAAUUUGAUAUGAAGGUAACUGUUGGAAGAGGGAUGGAUGUGAGCAUUCAGUUGCUAGCGUCACAGAACAAUCUAUUCCUCUCAAGAAAGCACUGUACAUUCAAACAAGUGGAAGGUGGAGGAUGGACAGUGAUUGAUAACAAGAGCCUGAAUGGUGUUCAGAUUAAUGACAAUCGGGUAAAACCAAUGGAGCCGGCAAACCUGAGAAUUGGAGAUAAAUUAGAGUUGGGUCAGGCAAACAAAGGACAAGUGAAUGAGUUUAUCUUCACAGUGUGCUGCAUAGACCAUUCCGCAGAGGAAGUGGACAAACUCCUGAGAGCUUGGAAGAGGAGGGCCGAAAAAAUCAAGCUCAAGUUGGCGGCAAAAUCUUCUCAACCCAUGGACAGCGAAAAUAGUGUAAAGUCAGAUUCUCAGUCGGGUAGUCUUGGCUGUUCAUCAUCGGGUGAUAGAAAACGAAAAGAAAGAGAUGAACAGAAUGUUAGAAGUAGUGCAUUCAAUGAACCUUCCACCUCAUCUGAUGUAAAGAGGACUAGACUUUCUCUUGAUGGUAAUCUUAAGAACUCUGGAUUUAGGCAGCUCAUGGAGGAGGUAGGGGCCAACAUGACAGCUGAAGAAUUGAAAGCAAUAACAGAACUCUUAGCAGAGAAGAAAGGAGAGAACAAAGGAGAGAGUGUACUUGAAAGACUUCGAUCGACUGUGAAGAAGCAGGAGGAAGUGGAGGAGAAGAAUGCCAAGCUUGAGGUUGAAUACAAGACCAGGGUGGAGGAGAAGGAAGAGGAACUGAGGCAAAAGGACAAAGAGCUUGUAGAGCAAAAAAGACUUCAAGAAGAAGCAGUAGAAAUGCAAAAGAGACUCUUAGAGGAGAAGGAAGAAGCAUUGGCAAAGAUGAAAUGUGAGAUGGAGGAGGUGUUGGAAAAGCAGGUCAAGGAGAAAGAGACAGCUCUAAUGGAACAGCUCAAACAACAGAGAGAAGAACUCAAACAUGAGAAAGAAAAGGUUGACAAUAGUCUUCAGGAGUUCAGCAAACAGUUGGCUGAGAAGGACAGGAGCAUGAAGGAAGAGCAAGAGGAAAUGCAAAGAAAAUUAGAAGAAGCUAUCAGAGAGAAAGAGGCACAGAUGUUGGCUCAGCUGGAAGCAGAGAAACAAGCUCUGAUUGAUGAGAAACAGAAAGUUGAAGAAAAGCUGCAAACAGCAUUAGAGAAGGACAAGGGGCUGGAGGAAGAGAAACAAAGAUUAGAUGACAUCAUUCAGCAAAAAGAAAAAGAAAAGACAGAUAUGGAAGAUGAGAUGGAAGCUAGCCGCUUAGAACGAGAGGAAGAAGAGAAAGUGAAGAUAGAAAAUGCAAAAAGGGCUGCUCUUGAUGACUUUACCAAUGUCAUGGAGAAUGAAUUCCAAUGCAGUAUUUGUUCAGAACUCUUCAUUCAGGCGACAACUCUGAACUGUUCUCAUUCUUUCUGUGCAUACUGCAUACACACAUGGUUUAAGCGGAAGAAUGAAUGCCCGAAUUGCCGUGUCAAGACCACCUCACACAGUCGCUCCAUUGUCCUUGAUAACUACAUUGACAAGAUGAUUGAGAAGUUAGGAGACGAAGCCAAACAAAGACGAAAGGAGAUAGUUGAAGAGAGGAAGGGUGAAUGAACUUUAAGUCAUUAUGGACAGUGUUUAUAAACAUCUGAUUGAACAUAAGAUUGAAAGUGAGGAUCCAAACUAUAGCACCAGGCCCAAUGCUGGCGUCACCACUGUUAAUUCUGUCCCUGUUGUCAUCUCUGAUGAGGAGGAUGAAGACGAGGAUGAAGAGGAUGAAGAAAUUGAGUACUACGACAGAUUUGAUCGGUUUGGUCGCCAUGGCAUGCGCCGGUACUAUCAUACUUCCGACGAGGAGUUAGACUCAGAAAAUGAGGAUGAUGAAUACUACUAACAAAGUACCUAAUCCUCACUCCAUAUAGAUCAUCAUGAUUUGCUACUUUUUAUUUCAAGAGAACUGUGAUGGAAUCAUAAAACGGCAACCAUCUUUUUGCUGUUGCAUUUUAUUUAUAUGCACAAAAUUUUAAAGGCUAAAAAAAUUAUUUUCAUAUUUUGUUUACCAAAGUGCCUCGAUAGAGAUUGAUGUCAGUUGUACACAGUCUUCUCUCUUCUCCCCAUUCCCGGAUCGCACUCUAAGAAGCGUGGGGGGGGGUCUUAUAUUGAUUGAAAAAAGGUUAUUGCACAUAUAUUGAUAAUAUAGUAAUAAUAUCCAAGUCCUUUGGAAGCGCAUAGAGACAUUAUUCAUAAUUGUGAUAUCCGCUAUACAAGAACUGUAUAUUAUUAUUAUUAUUAUUAUAUUGACUAGCCUUGAGGAGAACAUCAAAUGUGUCGCCUGUAACAGAAUCAUAUUGGCCCGAGUCUUUUCUGGAAGAAGAGCCAGUCAAUAUUAUUAUUACCUAAGGCUGUACAAUGUGUAACUCAAGCUAUUAUUUAGAACAAUUUAUACAUGUAUGCCUGUUUGCUUAUCACUCCUGAUUUCAGGUUAUUCACGAACAAUAGCGAAGUAACCCUUGCUAAGCAAUUGUGACGUAAAUUGUUACCUUGCAGUCGCGCAUCAUCCAUGGCGCACACAUGUACACUUAACGCAUAGAAAUCUUGCGCUUGAUUUUGUGUAUGCACUAAAGAUGCACUGACCACGCCGCGCAUUAUCUACAAUGCGUUGGUUCAUAAACUGGUUCCAGCCAGAUUUCUAAAAUACUGAACUUAGCGAUCAAAAUCGGCUCCUACUGCACAAGCUCACUAGUGGAAAUAUGGCCAAUAUUGCCCUCUGUUUUUGUACAGGAUUCCUCUUGGCAAAGCCCGGGGAGGGCAACAUGACAAAUGUUUACCUCGUUGGUCUCGGAUUGAAAGUAGCGAGCGAAAUAUGAUAUUUAUUUAUCUGCUAAAAUGCCUUUUAAAGGUAAUGUCAAAUAUUAUUCUUGUGUGAAAUAUUUCUUCUAAUCUUUUUUUCAAUUGCUUUCGAAAAUUCUGUCUUGAAGCAAGGCGUCUCGGUCUACAACAUGUAUUGCAAUGUGUAGAUUUGAUUUUUACUCGUUUCUUUCAACUUUAAAAUUGAAAUACCCUUAGCCCCUUUCGCCCUCCAUAUCAUGUAUUGAUUCAAUCAUUUUUGAGAUAAUGAAAAAUAAAAUAAUAGCAAUGAAUUAGUCUUGUAGUGAUCAAAAUAGUAUCAUCAACCCUAAUGGCAUCCAAUGAUUUAUUGUCUUUCUUUGAUAAUUGUAUCCACAGUCUUCUGCUGCUCUGUUUCUUAUAGUAUUGAAUAGGCCAGAAUUUCUACUUCCAUCACAAAAUAAGGUGUGCCAAGUAUUUUGGGGUUUAUGAUCAAUGUUUAUGUCAUAUUUGCUCCAAUGCAAGUUGAAAUCCUAACUCUGAUACCUGAACCACACAUUUUUAGUGGCAUUUUCAUAGCAUUCUAUACAAGUGUGGAUUGAAAUUUGUGUUACUUAAUAAUAAUAAUAUACAGUUCUUGUAUAGCGCAUAUCACAAUAAUGAAUAAUGUCUCUAUGCGCUUCCAAAAGACUUGGAUAUUAUUACCCCAGCUAUAGCUUGGCAGCCGUAAUUACUAAGAUUACAGCGCUCACGCAUUUCAAGGAAUAAAUUCCUGCCAGGCACCCAUUCACCUUACCUGGGUUGAGUGCAGCACAAUGUGAAUAAAUUUCUUGCUGAAGGAAAUUACGCCAUGCCAUGGCUGGGAUUUGAACCCACGACCCUGUUUUAAAGUCCGGAGACUAAUCCGCACAAUCCACAACGCUCCACAGCGUUAAGUCUUGAGUGUAAUUAUCAGAAUACCAAUGAAUAAACAAAAGAAUACCAACCAGAAAUUUUUAAAUAGUACUCCUGCAAUCAUAUUGGAAUAAAGCAUUGUUGAUUGGUUGUUAAACGUGUUUUAGAAUUAUGGCAGUAGUAGCAUUGCCUGAAAACAGUAUAUUCCUGUAGAGAACACUUGAAGGCAAAGGAAACUUGCUACUUUAUAUCAUAAACUCCAAAAUAUAGCAAUUUCUUAGCUUUAUUCAAAAUCUUUAAAUUGUGAGAUAUAAAGGUUUUACAAACUUUUGACAACAAACUUCAAAUCACCCACAAUGAUGAUUGAGUGUAAUGCUCUUUAACGGGAGAUGAAUGAUGAAUGAAUAUCUUCACAAACUGAUAGCUGUCCUUUCAUGCCUGUUGUAUUAGAUGGUAGUUGUGGCCAUUUUGCUCCCUAAAAAACUUCUCCCAUUGGUAAAAAGGUUCGGGUUUUUUUAAGGACAUCGUGAGGUCUGACUGGUUUGGAAACUUGAUCUUUUGAAGCCAACAUUCAAUAAUUUUCCUGAUAAUGUGCAUUGUACAGUUUCAAAAUUCAGAUGAGGCAGUAAGACCCAUAACUGCUCUCCAUCUUAGUGGUAUUUUUUUCCUUCUUGUGAAUCUUCUCAUUGCUAAGAGCAUAUGUAUUAUUUGCAAUAUCAAUACAUACUUGCUGAUCCUGAGAAAUGUAACAGUCAUUACUCUCAUUGAAUUUACCAUGUCAAUACACAAUCAUCUGGACUUGCUAGAGUACAUUUUCCAGCCUUGGCAAGUAUGUGCUUGAUGGGUUUCAUGAUUGUGAGAUCUAAUUAUCAACAUAUCAUUGAAUCAGUUUUUUUCAGAAGAUGACCUGAAAUAAGUACUUUAACAUUAAUUCACACUGACUCAUAGCUCCCAUCAGAGCUUUAUUCAUUAAAUUUCAUAUCAAUCUGUCGUUACAAAAGACAUCCAUACAAAUGUUUUGAAAUUAAAUAAUCUGAGAAUAGUUUAUUUACAUAUAACUCCUUGGUGUUAAUUGCUGGUAUUACAAUAAUUGUAUUUUUUGGUUAUGAAUGAGCUUUAAGUGAAUUAUUCACCUUUCUUGAAGGGUGAAUUAUUUGUUUUGUAUCGAUCCCAUACCUUGAUGUAAAUAGUCAGUUUGCCAAUGUUUUCAUUAUUUGUAUCCUAUUGUACAAAUACAAAUACUGUUCUUGAAUAAAGCCAGUAUCUUCAAAUAUUA